UCAAAAUCGAGUUUCAAAAGAAGCUUCUCAUCGUUCUUUUUUUUGGUGUUGUAGACAGGGGGAAUGAGAGAACACGUAGGAGAAAUGACAAAAAAAGGGAAGAAGUUAGCGGAACGUUAGGACACGUUUCGUCAAAUGUCUAACUUCU
Molecule: non-coding RNA, 148 nt
Organism: Caenorhabditis elegans
Lineage: Eukaryota; Metazoa; Nematoda; Chromadorea; Rhabditida; Rhabditidae
Source: Ensembl